This 23-nucleotide non-coding RNA is filed under the name Xenopus tropicalis (tropical clawed frog). RNAcentral also lists the same sequence under 2 other names. The record is from RNAcentral. Lineage: Eukaryota; Metazoa; Chordata; Amphibia; Anura; Pipidae.
UAUUGCACUUGUCCCGGCCUGUG